GGUGCAAUUGCAUCAGAUUAUCAAAGGCUACGUGUGGAAAGUGUCUGUUCAAGAUUAGAGCUUGUUUCUCUGGCAUAUUUGUGGAAAAAAGAUCAAUCAUUGCUUCUCCAGGAAAUGAUAACAAAUGGCAUUGUGGCUAUUGCAGUCAAUGUUGCAGCCAUGGGGUUGGACCCUUGCAAAGCACUUGGGCAAAGAAAUAGCAUUUUUGAAAACUUAUCUGCAUAAAUUGAAGGACUUGCAUGGAAUCAACGUAUGUGGUGAGGGAGGGAAGUAUGAAACUUUGACUCUUGACCGCCCACUCUUCCAUAAUGCUAGAAUCAUUAUUGAUGAAUUCCAAGUUGUGCUGCACUCUUCUGAUUCCAGAGCUCCAGUUGGAGUUCUGCAUCCAUUGAAAUUUCAUUUGGAAAGACAGGCAUCCAGCUCGUCAAGUGUUUAUGACAAAACCAAUGAUAUAUGCGGGGAGAAUAUGAGUUCUGCAUAUGAAGUGCAAGGUGAAAAUCCUCAAGAAUGCAAAGCUCCAAGUGAAUCCGUUCCUGAAGUUAGUGACUUGGUUGAUGUUUCAAGUAAUCGGCUUCACAUCUUUAAAACAGAAAAAGAUAAUACAGUUUCUAUUUGUUGCCGGUUGCGAGAUCCAUCAGAACCUUCACUGGGUUUGCAGGAAGAUUUGAAGCUGCUCCUUAGGCAAAUUGAAUUGCAACUUCUAGGAUGUGGUUUUGGUUGGGAGCAUGUGCUUUAUAGUCAUCUGUACAUAUCCGAUAUGAAUCAGUUCACACUGGCAAAUGAGACGUGAGAUUUAUUACCCAGGACAAAUGCCCUUUUGGUGUUCCAUCACGAAGUACUAUUGAACUGCCUUUAAUUCAAGCAGGUUUAGGGAGAGCAUAUAUUGAAGUGCUGGUGGCCAAUGAUCAGAGCAAAAGAGUUUUGCAUGUUCAAAGUAUUUCAUGUUGGGCACCUUGUUGCAUUGGACCAUAUAGCCAGGCUGAUUUUUUUGGGGCUGUGUUUGGAUGGGGAAUGGCAGGGAGGGAGUGUAAGCACAGUAAUGGAUUUCUUGAUGAUAAGAGAUUGAAUUGCUAGCCACUCAGGAAUCCUAUAUUAUAAAGAUAUGAUGCAUAGAUGUUAAAAGAUGACUGGGUUCUUUUGCAGUCGUACCUGAUAUUUUAUGAAUGUAGCAUUGUUUCUAUCACUAUGCAGUCUAUUCAACUUUUAACUUGUUCAAUUUUACUUUUAGGCAACUUUGCAUAAAGAGAUACUCCACAUGUCUGGUCAGUCGGGACUUGAUCCACCUACAAUGACUCCAUG
Non-coding RNA from Durio zibethinus, 1299 nucleotides. Lineage: Eukaryota; Viridiplantae; Streptophyta; Magnoliopsida; Malvales; Malvaceae. The record is from RefSeq and is a predicted model, not a curated record.